UACGGAGGGUGCGAGCGUUGUUCGGAAUCACUGGGCGUAAAGGGCGUGUAGGCGGUCCGCUAAGUCUGAUGUGAAAGCCCGGGGCUCACCCCCGGAAGGGCAUUGGAAACUGGCGGACUCGAGUCCCGGAGAGGAAGGUGGAAUUCCUGGUGUAGCGGUGAAAUGCGUAGAUAUCAGGAGGAAUACCGGUGGCGAAGGCGGCCUUCUGGACGGUGACUGACGCUGAUGCACGAAGGCCAGGGGAGCAAACGGG
Molecule: ribosomal RNA, 253 nt
Filed under: uncultured bacterium
Lineage: Bacteria
Description: partial 16S ribosomal RNA
Rfam family: Bacterial small subunit ribosomal RNA
Source: RNAcentral